AGCGAACGCUGGCGGCAGGCUUAACACAUGCAAGUCGAGCGCCCCGCAAGGGGAGCGGCAGACGGGAGAGUAACACGUGGGAACAUACCUUUUGGUUCGGAACAACUGAGGGAAACUUCAGCUAAUACCGGAUAAGCCCUUACGGGGAAAGAUUUAUCGCCGAAAGAUUGGCCCGCGUCUGAUUAGCUAGUUGGUGAGGUAACGGCUCACCAAGGCGACGAUCAGUAGCUGGUCUGAGAGGAUGAUCAGCCUCACUGGGACUGAGACACGGCCCAGACUCCUACGGGAGGCGGAAGUGGGGAAUAUUGGACAAGGGGGCAACCCUGAUCCAGCCAUGCCGCGUGAGUGAUGAAGGCCUUAGGGUUGUAAAGCUCUUUUGCCCGGGAAGAUAAUGACGGUACCGGGAGAAUAAGCCCCGGCUAACUUCGUG
Molecule: ribosomal RNA, 430 nt
Filed under: uncultured bacterium
Lineage: Bacteria
Description: partial 16S ribosomal RNA
Rfam family: Bacterial small subunit ribosomal RNA
Source: RNAcentral